AGAGUUUGAUUAUGGCUCAGGAUGAACGCUGGCGGCGUGCCUAACACAUGCAAGUCGAACGGACUUACACAGAAGCAGGAGAUGCUUGCAUUGACUAACGGAAGUGUAAGUUAGUGGCGGACGGGUGAGUAACGCGUGGGCAACCUGCCCCAUACCGGGGGAUAACACCUGGAAACAGGUGCUAAAACCGCAUAAGCGCACAGCUUCGCAUGAAGGUGUGUGAAAAACUCCGGUGGUAUGGGAUGGGCCCGCGUCUGAUUAGCUGGUUGGCGGGGUAACGGCCCACCAAGGCAACGAUCAGUAGCCGGCCUGAGAGGGUGGACGGCCACAUUGGGACUGAGACACGGCCCAAACUCCUACGGGAGGCAGCAGUGGGGAAUAUUGGACAAUGGGGGAAACCCUGAUCCAGCGACGCCGCGUGAGUGAAGAAGUAUUUCGGUACGUAAAGCUCUAUCAGCAGGAAAGAAAAUGACGGUACCUGACUAAGAAGCCCCGGCUAACUACGUGCCAGCAGCCGCGGUAAUACGUAGGGGGCAAGCGUUAUCCGGAUUUACUGGGUGUAAAGGGAGCGUAAACGGCAGCGCAAGUCUGGAGUGAAAUGCCGGGGCCCAACCCCGGAACUGCUCUGGAAACUGUGAA
RNAcentral lists this ribosomal RNA (639 nucleotides) under uncultured bacterium. RNAcentral describes it as "bacterial SSU rRNA". It matches the Rfam family "Bacterial small subunit ribosomal RNA", at positions 8 to 639 of the family's 1533-position model. The record is from RNAcentral.